Molecule: unclassified non-coding RNA, 182 nt
Filed under: Oehlia diaphana
Lineage: Eukaryota; Fungi; Glomeromycota; Glomeromycetes; Glomerales; Glomeraceae
Description: partial internal transcribed spacer region
Rfam family: Eukaryotic small subunit ribosomal RNA (bases 1-46)
Source: RNAcentral
AAGUCGUAACAAGGUUUCCGUAGGUGAACCUGCGGAAGGAUCAUUAAUGAUUUUAGCUAACCAUGGCUAUUUUAGCCAUGGUUAUGCGAAAUUUUGUAUUUAAAACCCCACUCUUACAAUAAAAAUUUAUUAUAUUUAUGAUAAAAAUAAGAUCACUUUCAACAACGGAUCUCUUGGCUCUC